UACGUAGGGACCGAGCGUUGUCCGGAAUUAUUGGGCGUAAAGAGCUCGUAGGCGGUUUGUCGCGUCUGCUGUGAAAACCUAAGGCUCAACCUUGGGCUUGCAGUGGGUACGGGCAGACUAGAGUGCGGUAGGGGUGACUGGAAUUCCUGGUGUAGCGGUGGAAUGCGCAGAUAUCAGGAGGAACACCGAUGGCGAAGGCAGGUCACUGGGCCGCAACUGACGCUGAGGAGCGAAAGCAUGGGGAGCGAACAGG
RNAcentral lists this ribosomal RNA (253 nucleotides) under uncultured bacterium. Its description in RNAcentral is "partial 16S ribosomal RNA". It matches the Rfam family "Bacterial small subunit ribosomal RNA", at positions 524 to 776 of the family's 1533-position model. The record is from RNAcentral.